RNAcentral lists this ribosomal RNA (494 nucleotides) under uncultured bacterium. RNAcentral's name for it is "partial 16S ribosomal RNA". It matches the Rfam family "Bacterial small subunit ribosomal RNA", at positions 28 to 507 of the family's 1533-position model. The record is from RNAcentral.
GACGAACGCUGGCGGCGUGCUUAACACAUGCAAGUCGAACGGUGAAGCGCCUUCCUUUUUGGUGGGUGUGGAUGAGUGGCGAACGGGUGAGUAACACGUGAGUAACCUGCCCCCUUCUUCUGGAUAACCGCAUGAAAGUGUGGCUAAUACGGGAUAUUCUGGGUCUGUCGCAUGAUGGGUCUGGGAAAGAUAUUGUUUCGGUGGGUGAUGGGCUCGCGGCCUAUCAGCUUGUUGGUGGGGUGAUGGCCUACCAAGGCGGUGACGGGUAGCCGGCCUGAGAGGGUGGACGGUCACACGGGGACUGAGACACGGCCAAGACUCGUACGGGAGGCAGCAGUGGGGAAUAUUGCACAAUGGGCGCAAGCCUGAUGCAGCGACGCCGCGUGAGGGAUGGAGGCCUUCGGGUUGUGAACCUCUUUCGCCAGUGAAGCAGGCCUGCCUCGUUUGUGGGUGGGUUGACGGUAGCUGGAUAAGAAGCGCCGGCUAACUACGUG